Non-coding RNA from Otolemur garnettii (small-eared galago), 62 nucleotides. The record is from Rfam. Lineage: Eukaryota; Metazoa; Chordata; Mammalia; Primates; Galagidae.
UAGGGGAGUCAGGGCUCAGGCCCCCCUCCUGAGCCCCGGAUAACUCUAUCAGUGGGGGGGCA